GACGAACGCUGUCGGCGUGCCUAAUACAUGCAAGUCGAACGCUUUUUCUUUCACCGGAGCUUGCUCCACCGAAAGAAAAAGAGUGGCGAACGGGUGAGUAACACGUGGGUAACCUGCCCAUCAGAAGGGGAUAACACUUGGAAACAGGUGCUAAUACCGUAUAACACUAUUUUCCGCAUGGAAGAAAGUUGAAAGGCGCCUUUGCGUCACUGAUGGAUGGACCCGCGGUGCAUUAGCUAGUUGGUGAGGUAACGGCUCACCAAGGCAACGAUGAAUAGCCGACCGGAGAGGGUGAUCGGCCACACUGGGACGUAGACACGGCCCAGACGCCUACGGGAGGCAGCAGUAGGGAAGCUUCGGCAAUGGACGAAAGUCUGACCGAGCAACGCCGCGUGAGUGGAGAAGGUUUUCGGAUCGUAAAACUCUGUUGUUAGAGAAGAACAAGGAUGAGAGUAAAACGUUCAUCCCUUGACGGUAUCUAACCAGAAAGCCACGGCUAACUACGUGCCAGCAGCCGCCGUAA
Molecule: ribosomal RNA, 523 nt
Filed under: uncultured bacterium
Lineage: Bacteria
Description: partial 16S ribosomal RNA
Rfam family: Bacterial small subunit ribosomal RNA
Source: RNAcentral